CGCACCGGCACGUGACCGCAGGCUCAGAGCUUCGCAUCCACCUUCCUUCUAUCAGACCUAGGCGCAGGUUUAAUCAGAUCUGAAUCCUAGGAUCACAGAUAUAAAUUAGACAGCUUGAAGAGAUUUGAAGUGAUCCACCCUUCUGCUUUCUACCUUCAGAAAAUUCAAAUGUCUUGUUGAACGUUGCACAGAUACUAAGUAGGAUAGCUGGGUUUUGAACACAGGUCUUCUGAUUUCAAAUCCAGCAACCUAUUUACUAAUCCAGUACCUCCAAGUGGAAGCAUCCUCUAGAAGAAGUGAAGAUCGUCUUCAUUCUCCUGCGGACCUUUUGAACCAUCACUUUGUACCAUGUAGAGGUGUAGUUCUCUAACCCUCCAUCUUUCUCCAAGCCUUCCGAUCGGAUCAAAAGUUUUCAUCAAGUCUUCCAUCAUGUGUCAUCAGCAUCUUUUUGUUCUUGUGGUCACUCGUUAUAUUCACCACCCUUCGUGGCAAGCAGUUAGAAAUGUGGAAGAAGGUUGUCAAAGUGCAUUGACCAUUUAUGGAAAUCAAGGACAAAAAUAAGCAUUCAGCAUGGAUCUACGUAAAACUGAUGGGACAGUGUGCGGUCCUGGUCCACAUCAAUUUCAGUUUCCAAGUUCUAGUCCACAGCACAUCCCUAAACUCUCACUUCAGGGUGGUAAGAACAAAAACAGCAGCAUGAGUAAUAUUAGUGUGUGGCAAACACACAUAUUAAGAGUGCAUAUGCUAUGCUGGCAUUCUGCGGAGAAGGAUAGGUUUUUAACUUAUGGAAGAAAGAAGGUGUGUAGUGGAUGUUUAUAUUAGCAGCUAAUGUUUUCAAAUGCAUUUUUGGGCUAUAAGACCACUUUCACUGGCAAGCUUUGUCAGUUUGUAAUGUUUCUUAGGAAGCAUUUUUCAAAGAAAUUAGGCUUUAAUGAAAAUACUCAGUGGACAUCCACUGAUAUCCCUGAUAUUAAAUAAGGAGCGAACAAAUAAAAGAAAAGGAGGACACUUCUCUGUCCUUUCACAAGCCUCUCUUUAUUCUCCGACUCUCAGUUCUUUGCCAUCAUAAGGGGAAAAAAAAGCAGUUGUUCAGUGGCUCUCUAGGAUUUAAGGGGUUGAAAAGUCUGUCACAAAUGUCAUUAUGUUCCCAUUCAGGAAGAAGUAAUAUGUCGCUUUCUUCCUCCUGUCCUGGUUCUCACAGUUAGUCACAGACAAUAUCAAUAUGCCUAGCAAGAGGAAAAAGAUAAAACAGUAGCUACAAAAGGGAGAAUCAAUCAUUUCAAAAGUUUUUUCCCCCUUUUUCCAGUGCCAUCAAUCUUUCAUUAUUUUCAUGUUGUGACUUUCUGAAUCUUGGUUGGCUUUGUGAUAUGGAGUCCUUCAGGUUUUUGCAGGAUGGAGAGGAUCUCAAGGCUACAUUUUAUUGCAGAUGUCAGAAAGAACUGGGUGUGAAUCUCCACUCAGAUGUUUAUGUGUAUACUUCAGUUUCCUAAUAUUAUGAAGAAUUUGUGGAAUGUUGGUGGCUCCUCUCUCCACAUGUCUCUCCCGAAGAGUCUCUGAAACCACAUCUGUCUCUCUCUAAAGAAGCCCUGGCACCAACUCCAUCUUUGUUUCAGGAACACAGUGUGGUAUCAGCAUUCUCUAUAUCAAAGGUGUCAAACUUGAGGCUGGCAAAACUCCUGAGUGGGUUUGUAGUUGAAGUCUAUGAAGCCAGAGGAUAGAAUGAGGAAAUCAAGAGAGUUCUAAGGCUGCCAUCUAGGCCUAGCUGCUUUGUUCUCCUUUCUAGUGCCCUUAAGCUUUGUAUUUCUUGAUUGCAAUGAAUAGGACUACCAGGAUCAGUGGGUUACCGGCUUUGUUGGGGAAGUCAUAUAUUUCCAUAUAUUAAUUUUCACUCCAGACAAAUAUGCAUGUGCACACACAUCCACAUCCAC
Phascolarctos cinereus (koala) is the source of this 1928-nucleotide long non-coding RNA. RefSeq lists it as uncharacterized. NCBI's taxonomy places the organism in Eukaryota, Metazoa, Chordata, Mammalia, Diprotodontia, Phascolarctidae. The record is from RefSeq and is a predicted model, not a curated record.